ACCUUAUGAUUUGGGCAUUGAAUCAAUUUAUUAUUGAAUCUUUUUCAAAUUUCAUACAAGGUUUCACCACUAAGUCGGCAAAAAUUUGCAAUCCCAUCCCUUAGUU
Non-coding RNA from Capsicum annuum, 106 nucleotides. The record is from Rfam. NCBI's taxonomy places the organism in Eukaryota, Viridiplantae, Streptophyta, Magnoliopsida, Solanales, Solanaceae.